This 465-nucleotide ribosomal RNA is filed under the name Vreelandella stevensii. Its description in RNAcentral is "partial 16S ribosomal RNA". It matches the Rfam family "Bacterial small subunit ribosomal RNA", at positions 338 to 795 of the family's 1533-position model. The record is from RNAcentral. Lineage: Bacteria; Pseudomonadati; Pseudomonadota; Gammaproteobacteria; Oceanospirillales; Halomonadaceae.
CCUACGGGAGGCAGCAGUGGGGAAUAUUGGACAAUGGGGGCAACCCUGAUCCAGCUAUGCCGCGUGUGUGAAGAAGGCCCUCGGGUUGUAAAGCACUUUCAGUGAGGAAGAACGCCUGGUGGUUAAUACCCAUCAGGAAAGACAUCACUCACAGAAGAAGCACCGGCUAACUCCGUGCCAGCAGCCGCGGUAAUACGGAGGGUGCGAGCGUUAAUCGGAAUUACUGGGCGUAAAGCGCGCGUAGGUGGCUUGAUAAGCCGGUUGUGAAAGCCCCGGGCUCAACCUGGGAACGGCAUCCGGAACUGUCAAGCUAGAGUGCAGGAGAGGAAGGUAGAAUUCCCGGUGUAGCGGUGAAAUGCGUAGAGAUCGGGAGGAAUACCAGUGGCGAAGGCGGCCUUCUGGACUGACACUGACACUGAGGUGCGAAAGCGUGGGUAGCAAACAGGAUUAGAUACCCUAGUAGUC